This 211-nucleotide long non-coding RNA is filed under the name Lathyrus oleraceus (garden pea). RNAcentral describes it as "Pisum sativum (pea) long non-coding RNA (PSAT_LNC001200)". Lineage: Eukaryota; Viridiplantae; Streptophyta; Magnoliopsida; Fabales; Fabaceae. The record is from RNAcentral.
CGCUUUCCAUUAUUGAAGAAAAGAGAGAGAAUUUAUGUUUCUUGAUUUGAGAAAAAAUGGAAUAAAUGUUGUUUCUGAUGCUUUGAGGGAGAGGAUGGAAGAGAGAGAAUGAAAAAUGCAAAAUGAAGUAAUCGAGGAAGUUUACUAUAAUACCAAGAAAUAAAGUGGUAAAAAGGAAAAUUUGAAGUCUAAUGCAAAAGGUACACAUGUU